Molecule: ribosomal RNA, 904 nt
Filed under: Candidatus Phytoplasma asteris-related phytoplasma
Lineage: Bacteria; Bacillati; Mycoplasmatota; Mollicutes; Acholeplasmatales; Acholeplasmataceae
Description: partial 16S ribosomal RNA
Rfam family: Bacterial small subunit ribosomal RNA
Source: RNAcentral
GGUUNCUGGAUCNNGAGGGUCUCGCGGCCUNUCANCUAGNUGGUGGGGUAACGGCCUACCAAGGCAUCGACGGGUAGCUGGUCUGANAGGAUGAUCANCCACACUGGGACUGANACACGGCCCANACUCCUACGGGAGGCNNCNNUGGGGAAUCUUGCGCANUGGGCGAAAGCCUGACGCANCANCGCCGCGUGCGGGAAGAAGGCCUUCNGGUUGUAAACCGCUUUCNNAANGAACGAAACUGACGGUACUUUCNAAAGAAGGUGCGGCCAACUACNUGCCANCNNCCGCGGUGACACNUANGCNCCNNGCGUUGUCCGGAUUUAUUGGGCGUAANGAGCUCGNANGCGGNUCGGUAAAUCGGAUGUGAAAACUUUGGGCUCAACCCAAAGCGUGCACUCGAUACUGCCGUGACUGGAGUUCGGUAGGGGAGCGGGGAAUUCCUAGUGUAGCGGUGAAAUGCGCAGAUAUUAGGAGGAACACCGGUGGCGAAGGCGCCGCUCUGGGCCGAUACUGACGCUGAGGAGCGAAAGCGUGGGUAGCAAACAGGAUUAGAUACCCUGGUAGUCCACGCCGUAAACGUUGGGCACUAGGUGUGGGUCUCAACCAACGAGAUCCGCGCCGUCGCUAACGCAUUAAGUGCCCCGCCUGGGGGAGUACGGCCGCAAGGUUAAAACUCAAAGGAAUUGACGGGGGCCCGCACAAGCAGCGGAGCGUGUUGCUUAAUUCGAUGCAACGCGAANAACCUUACCUGGGCUUGACNUGUACGGAAAAGCCGUAGANAUACNGUGUCCUUCGGGGUCGUACACAGGUGGUGCAUGGNUGUCGUCAGCUCGUGUCGUGAGAUGUUGGGUUAAGUCCCGCAACGAGCGCAACCCUUAUUCUAUGUUGCCAGCGGUAAUGC